AUUGAACGCUGGCGGCAGGCCUGACACAUGCAAGUCGAGCGGAUGAAGGGGGCUUGCUCCUGGAUUCAGCGGCGGACGGGUGAGUAAUGCCUAGGAAUCUGCCUGGUAGUGGGGGAUAACGUCCGGAAACGGGCGCUAAUACCGCAUACGUCCUGAGGGAGAAAGUGGGGGAUCUUCGGACCUCACGCUAUCAGAUGAGCCUAGGUCGGAUUAGCUAGUUGGUGGGGUAAAGGCCUACCAAGGCGACGAUCCGUAACUGGUCUGAGAGGAUGAUCAGUCACACUGGAACUGAGACACGGUCCAGACUCCUACGGGAGGCAGCAGUGGGGAAUAUUGGACAAAGGGCGAAAGCCUGAUCCAGCCAUGCCGCGUGUGUGAAGAAGGUCUUCGGAUUGUAAAGCACUUUAAGUUGGGAGGAAGGGCAGUAAGUUAAUACCUUGCUGUUUUGACGUUACCAACAGAAUAAGCACCGGCUAACUUCGUG
RNAcentral lists this ribosomal RNA (484 nucleotides) under uncultured bacterium. RNAcentral's name for it is "partial 16S ribosomal RNA". It matches the Rfam family "Bacterial small subunit ribosomal RNA", at positions 30 to 507 of the family's 1533-position model. The record is from RNAcentral.